RNAcentral lists this transfer RNA (77 nucleotides) under Alteromonas sp. Its description in RNAcentral is "tRNA-Met". It matches the Rfam family "tRNA". From Rfam's summary of the family: Transfer RNA (tRNA) molecules are approximately 80 nucleotides in length. Lineage: Bacteria; Pseudomonadati; Pseudomonadota; Gammaproteobacteria; Alteromonadales; Alteromonadaceae. The record is from RNAcentral.
CGCGGGAUGGAGCAGUCUGGUAGCUCGUCGGGCUCAUAAUCCGGAAGUCGCUGGUUCAAAUCCAGCCCCCGCUACAA